CCCUUAGAUGUCCUGGGCUGCACGCGCGCUACACUGAUGUGUCCAGUAAGCACCUAACCUCUUCCGAAAGGAACGGGUAACCUUUGCAAAGCACAUCGUGAUGGGGAUAGAUUAUUGCAAUUAGUAGUCUUGAACGAGGAAUUCCUAGUAAGCACAAGUCAUCAGCUUGUGUUGAUUACGUCCCUGCCCUUUGUACACACCGCCCGUCGCUCCUACCGAUUGAAUGUUCCGGUGAGCUCUUCGGACUGCGCGGUCUGCAGUUUCUGCGUUCCGUGCGGAAAGUUGCGCAAACCUUAACAUUUAGAGGAAGGAGAAGUCGUAACA
RNAcentral lists this ribosomal RNA (324 nucleotides) under uncultured eukaryote. RNAcentral describes it as "partial 18S ribosomal RNA". It matches the Rfam family "Eukaryotic small subunit ribosomal RNA", at positions 1470 to 1796 of the family's 1831-position model. The record is from RNAcentral.